Non-coding RNA from Triticum aestivum (bread wheat), 135 nucleotides. The record is from Rfam. Lineage: Eukaryota; Viridiplantae; Streptophyta; Magnoliopsida; Poales; Poaceae.
UUUGUACUCCCUCCGUCCGGAAGUACUUAUCAUCAAAAUGGAUAAAAGGAGAUGUAUCUAGACGUAUUUUAUUUCUAGAUACAUCUCUUUUUAUCCAUUUUGAUGACAAGUAUUUUCAUACGGAAAUAAUAAAUA